UUAGGAAUAUUCGUCAAUGGGGGAAACCCUGAACGAGCAAUGCCGCGUGAAUGAAGAAGGCCCUAUGGGUUGUAAAAUUCUGUUGUAUGGAAAGAAAUGUAAAGUUAGGAAAUGAACUUUACUUGACGGUACCAUUCAAGAAAGCCACGGCUAACUACGUGCCAGCAGCCGCGGUAAUACGUAGGUGACAAGCGUUGUCCGGAUUUACUGGGUGUAAAGGGCGCGUAGGCGGACUGUCAAGUCAGUCGUGAAAUACCGGGGCUUAACCCCGGGGCUGCGAUUGAAACUGACAGCCUUGAGUAUCGGAGAGGAAAGCGGAAUUCCUAGUGUAGCGGUGAAAUGCGUAGAUAUUAGGAGGAACACCAGUGGCGAAGGCGGCUUUCUGGACGACAACUGACGCUGAGGCGCGAAAGUGUGGGGAGCAAACAGGAUUAGAUACCCUGGUAGUCCACACCGUAAACGAUGGAUACUAGGUGUAGGAGGUAUCGACCCCUUCUGUGCCGCAGUUAACACAAUAAGUAUCCCACCUGGGGAGUACGACCGCAAGGUUGAAACUCAAAGGAAUUGACGGGGGCCCGCACAAGCAGUGGAGUAUGUGGUUUAAUUCGAAGCAACGCGAAGAACCUUACCUGGGCUUGACAUCCCUGGAAUCGAGUAGAGAUACUUGAGUGCCUUCGGGAAUCAGGUGACAGGUGGUGCAUGGUUGUCGUCAGCUCGUGUCGUGAGAUGUUGGGUUAAGUCCCGCAACGAGCGCAACCCCUAUUGUCAGUUGCCAUCAUUAAGUUGGGCACUCUGGCGAGACUGCCGGUGACAAAUCGGAGGAAGGUGGGGACGACGUCAAAUCAUCAUGCCCCUUAUGCCCAGGGCUACACACGUACUACAAUGGCCGAUAACAAAGUGCAGCGAAACCGUGAGGUGGAGCGAAUCACAAAACUCGGUCUCAGUUCAGAUUGCAGGCUGCAACUCGCCUGCAUGAAGUUGGAAUUGCUAGUAAUCGCGGAUCAGAAUGCCGCGGUGAAUACGUUCCC
This 1028-nucleotide ribosomal RNA is filed under the name uncultured bacterium. RNAcentral describes it as "bacterial SSU rRNA". It matches the Rfam family "Bacterial small subunit ribosomal RNA", at positions 355 to 1375 of the family's 1533-position model. The record is from RNAcentral.